AAUCAGGAGGAUUAAUGUUAUUGGGAUGCCCACCUAGGAAAGGCCACGGGCCCCGGUUGCCCGCACGUUGUACGGGGAAAAAAAAAUAGGGAGGCAUCGCAGAACAUGGCCUAGGGGAGGCGUACUCGAGCCCGAAGCAUCAUCUUCAUAUGGGGAGCCGGCUGAAAGGACUGUUGAGAAAACACAAGUGAACCUCAUCCAGCGGUUGCAGGGACGUAGGGUGGCGUUCCCCUGGGGUCCCCGGAACCUCCCGAAAUUUAGUAUUAAAUUUAUGUUACCUCAAAGCUGUGUAAGCCUACAUUUGCACAGUGUACCCCAUAAGAAGCUGGGCAGGUGGCUUGUAUGCUCCGACCUCGCACCGAACCGCUCCAUAACGAAAGGUGCAAUAUGGAUUCUAACGUAGACCGUUUUCGGCCAGUGGGGCUGACGAUUCCAUCACUGGUUUACUGUACAACACAUACAUGCACCAACAAAAGUCAUAGGCGCCAAGGAUUUCCACUGUCUCCAGAGGAUCUGGAAGAAACACCAGAAGUUUAAGAAAAGGUUUCGAAGGCGAAGUCAAUGGUAUUGACACCCGACUCAAGCGAAGGUUAGAGGUUCGAAGGCGAUCAGAUACCGCCCUAGUUCUAACCUUAAACGAUGCUGACUAGCGAUCCGCCGCAGUUAUUCCCAUGACCCGGCGGGUAGCUUCCGGGAAACCAAAGUCUUUGAGUUCCGGGGGAAGUAUGGUUGCAAAGCUGAAACUUAAAGGAAUUGACGGAAGGGCACCACCAGGAGUGGAGCCUGCGGCUCAAUUUGACUCAACACGGGGAAACUCACCAGGCCAGGACACCGGAAGGAUUGACAGAAUGAAGGCUCUUUCUCGAUUCGGUGGGUGGUGGUGCAUGGCCGUUCUUAGUUGGUGGAGUGAUCUGUCUGGUUAAUUCCGAUAACGAACGAGACUCUAGCCUGCUAAAUAGUCGACGGAUCUCAACCCCGUUGCCCCCGUUGUCGUUCGCGGCGAUGCGGGGCGCGGGUUCCCCGAAACCCGGUCGUCGUGCGGGCCUCCACCGUCGGUCGGUUAGCGCCGCCGGCGGCGCGCCCCGCGGCGCCGGAAACUGGCGUCCGCUUCGCAGUCUUCUUCUUAGAGGGAUAAGCGGCAGCAAAAAAUAUACUAGCCGCACGAGAGUUUGAGCCAUAACAGGUCUGUGAUGCCCUUAGAUGUUCUGGGCCGCACGCGCGCUACAAUGGAGAGUUCAGCGAGCUGGCCCUGCUCCGAGAGGAGCGGGUAACCUCGUGAAAGCUGUCCUUAAAGGGGAUUGGGGCUUGCAAAUGUUCCCCAUGAACGAGGAAUUCCCAGUAGGCGCAAUUCACCAGAUUGCGCCGAUUUAGUCCCUGCCCUUUGUACACACCGCCCGUCGCUACUACCGAUUGAAUGGUCUAGUGAGGGCACCGGACUGGCGCCCUUGGAGCCGCUACCGCCUCGGCGGGCAGCGCCCUCGGGUCGACGGAAAGGUGUCCAAGCUGGGUCAUUUAGAGGAAGUAAAAGUCGUAACAAGGUUUCCGUAGGUGAACCUGCGGAAG
This 1563-nucleotide ribosomal RNA is filed under the name Penaeus vannamei (Pacific white shrimp). Its description in RNAcentral is "bacterial SSU rRNA". The stretch from base 511 to 1563 matches the Rfam family "Eukaryotic small subunit ribosomal RNA". Lineage: Eukaryota; Metazoa; Arthropoda; Malacostraca; Decapoda; Penaeidae. The record is from RNAcentral.